Long non-coding RNA from Panicum hallii, 1051 nucleotides. RefSeq lists it as uncharacterized. The transcript is spliced from 2 exons. The record is from RefSeq and is a predicted model, not a curated record. Lineage: Eukaryota; Viridiplantae; Streptophyta; Magnoliopsida; Poales; Poaceae.
UAGGAAUUAUAUUUGUCCACCACCAAAUGAUUGGAUAUUUACUAGUAUAGUUUGUGAGAAAUUAGGAUUAUUCCAUUGAGUUGUUUUCUGGACUAAAUAUGUGUCAGCCAACUUUUUUUUCCCUAAAGUAUGUGAGAUUAAACUUAAGAUCAAAUCUUGGGAGCAUGAUGGGUAUGAAACAAUUAGGGAAAUGUCUGAUGCCGUGAUAGAAAAGUAUGACAAAUAUUGGGCUGAUAUACAUGGUAUUAUGGUUGUUGCUGUCAUUCUUGAUCCACGUCUUAAGAUGACAAUGUUAAAUGCUUGCUAUAUUGCCCUUUUGGUGAAGAACAAGAUGAAAUUUAUGUGACAGAGGCCCAUGAAUUGCUAUCUGAGUUGAUGAAAUAAUACCAAUAAGACUUUGUUAGUACAUCAUCUAGUGGUGCUAGUUCUUCAGUUGAUGCAGCUGGUGUGUUGUCUAUUUUUAAAACCCUUGCUGCAAAUAAGAAGACUGCUAGCUUUGUUAGAAGUAAGAAUGAGCUAGAUCACUAUUUGGAUGUAGAAACUCUUCCUCAUGAUGAGAAUGAAUAUUUUGAUAUCCUGGUUGGUGGAAGUUGGAGGGAAUUCGGUACCCCACUUUGAGGCAAAUUGCUCGUGACAUUUUGGAUAUUCCAAUCACAACAAUAGUUUCUGAAUCAGCUUUUGGCACCAGUGGAAAGGUCUUGAGUGAGCAUUGCAAUCGUCUUACUUCUAAAACGUUGGAAGGUUUGAUGUGUGGCCAAAGUUGGCUUCGUCACACUCUCAAAGAUGAUGGUGAUGCAAGGACCAAUAGUUUCUGAUCAUAUCUUGAAGACAUUCAAGAAGAAAUGAGGGAGAUUCUUUCAUCACUACUGCUGAUUCCGACUCAUGAACUACUGCUGAUUCUGACUCAUGAGUUCUAAUAUUUGCUUGGCUCAAUUGAAUUUUUUUAUAUAAUAAUAGUUUUGAACAAUGAAUCUUGUAUGGUUGUAUACUUUUAUUUCUGUUAAUGUGUGAUGUAUCAUGUAUUUAUAUACGAGACUAGUUCAUUUGUUUA